Molecule: long non-coding RNA, 896 nt
Filed under: Malus domestica (apple)
Lineage: Eukaryota; Viridiplantae; Streptophyta; Magnoliopsida; Rosales; Rosaceae
Description: long non-coding RNA (MDOM_LNC013080)
Source: RNAcentral
AACUCACUUUGAUUUGAGUUGAGUCUUGGUUCACCAAUCUACUAGGCUUUGAAUUUCUUGGUUAAUGUUUUGUUUUUAAGUGCAUGCUAGCAUGAUUCCGCCUUUAAUUGUUAAUUGCAUGCUUUAUUGAUGUUGCUUAAAUGAACAUGUUUUCACAAAAUUUUCCUUCAAGUGGUAUCAGAGCCUAGGUCUAGUAGUUGGUGAAUCCUUUUGGGUUUUGUGGUUCAUAGUUUGUGAUUUAAAAGUUGUAAUUGUUACAAGCUUUAUUCUUGUUUCUUUGAAUGUAAAUUUUGUUAGAAAAUUUGCCAUCUCAAAUGUUGUAGAUGUAGUUCAUAUGAGCAUGAAUAUUGGAGCUAAAAUUUGGUGCCAUGACUUUGGGGAUUUUCGGCCAAAUCCAAAGGGUGGAUUUUUGGGUUCUUGUUUGACUUGUUAAAAGUGUUUUAAAGUGACUUUUGGAACCCCUAUGUACCCUAGUUUGGUUAGAUGUUAUUUCCCUUAAGUUUGAAUGGUUUUGGAAUGUUUUUGGGUGAAAAAUGUUCAUGGAAAUUUUUUGUGUUUUUCAUGAAUGUUCUUCAUUGUUCUUGACAUUUUUGCCAAGAACAAAAAGUUUGGUGUUUUGAUUCAAAGUUUUGAUUAAUUUCAUAAAGUCUUUGUUUUGUGUUGAUUGGUGUGAAAUAUCUAUCAUCAAAACAUUUAUAUUUUUGAAAGGUGAUAGAAAUUGUGAUGGGUGUGUAAGACUUACACACCUUACACACCUUACACACCUUACACAGCACUUGCAAGUAUUUAUGUCACAAACCACUUGCAAGGCUUUAUGAAUUUGUUGAAAAAAAAAUUUUCAAAAUUUUUGUGGACCAACACUCCAAAACCGGCCACCCUAUUAUUAGGGUUCUUUU